This 1320-nucleotide ribosomal RNA is filed under the name metagenome. RNAcentral's name for it is "SSU rRNA". It matches the Rfam family "Eukaryotic small subunit ribosomal RNA", at positions 483 to 1823 of the family's 1831-position model. The record is from RNAcentral.
AUAUUGGUUCCUACGGAAACAAUUAUUGGAAUGAGAACAAUUUAAAAAACUUAGCGACUAACUAUUGGAGGGCAAGUCUGGUGCCAGCAGCCGCGGUAAUUCCAGCUCCAAGAGCGUAUAUUAAAAUUGUUGUGGUUAAAAAGCUCGUAGUUGUAUUUCAGAAAUUUUGGCGUGAAUUACUAGGAUUCUGGUAGUUUCGUCAUUUUCUAUCUUUAUAUAUGACUUGUAAAAAGGUUAUAUAUAUAGUUUACUUUGAAAAAAUUAGAGUGUUCAAAGCAGGCACGCGCCAAUUGAAUAUUUUAGCAUGGGACAAUAGAAUAAGACAAUAGCUCUCAUUUUGUUGGUUCAGUUAGCUAUUGUAAUGAUUGACAGGGACAGUUGGGGUUACUUGUAUUCAAUCGGGAAGGGUGAAAUCUUAUGAUCGAUUGAAGACAAACUAUUGCGAAAGCAUUUAACAAGGAUGUUUUCAUUAAUCAAGAACGAGAGUUGAGGGAUCGAAGAUGAUCAGAUACCGUUGUAGUCUCAACUGUAAACUAUGUCGACUCAGGAUUGGAAGAUAUUACAUGGAUGAUUCUUUCAGCACUGAAUGAGAAAUUAAAGUACCUAGACUCCAGGGGGAGUAUGGUCGCAAGGCUGAAACUUAAAGGAAUUGACGGAAGGCCACCACCAGGAGUGGAAUCUGCGGCUUAAUUUGACCCAACACGGGGAAACUUACCGGGUCCGGACACUACGAGGAUUGACAGAUUGAGAGCUCUUUCUUGAUUUAGUGAUUGGUGGUGCAUGGCCGUUUUUAGUUGGUGGAUUGAUUUGUCUGGUUAAUUCCGAAAACGAACGAGAUCUUAACCAUUAAAUAUGUUACGUUAAUAUGGUUGAAAGACCAAAUAUUUGACAUGAAAACUUCUUAAAGGGACUAUUUGCAUUUUAGUGAAUGGAAGUUUGAGGCAAAAACAGGUCUGUGAUGCCCUUCGAUGUUCCGGGCUGCACGCGCGUUACACUGAUUUGUUCAGUAAGUAAUUCCUUAUUCAAACGGAUAUGGUAAUCUUUGAAAAACAAAUCGUGAUUGGGAUAAAGCCUUGUAAUUAUUGCUUUUGAACGAGGAAUUCCUAGUAGGGACAGUUCAUCAAACUGUCUCGAAUAUGUCCCUGGCCUUUGUACACACCGCCCGUCGCUCCUACCGAUUGAGUAACCCGAUGAGAAUUCAGGAUAGAUUAGUCCUCGAAUGCCUGAAAGGGUAUUGGGAAUAAUUUAGAAUUUAUUCAAAUCUUAUUAUUUAGAGGAAGGAGAUUCGUAACAAGGUUUUCGUUGGUGAACCAGCGGAAG